Ziziphus jujuba (common jujube) is the source of this 835-nucleotide long non-coding RNA. RefSeq lists it as uncharacterized. NCBI's taxonomy places the organism in Eukaryota, Viridiplantae, Streptophyta, Magnoliopsida, Rosales, Rhamnaceae. The transcript is spliced from 2 exons. The record is from RefSeq and is a predicted model, not a curated record.
UAUGGCGCAGCACAUGGGUAUAUGUCAAAAUUCUACCCAAAAAAAGUAAAGAGCCAGAAAAGAUAUCAGCAGGUUUAACACGAUGGAGGCAUCGUCAGAUGAUAUGGAGUCACUAAUCAACAAAACUAGAAUGCUUCAAUGUGUACUGGAAGAUGUUGAGCUAACACCAUAUUCAGAAAAUGCAAAGAAGGACCUAUAUAUCAUUGGUGGGUAAAAUUAUUUCAAAUAGAACAUUUGGAAAGAGAUGUUGUAACAGCCAUUCUUCGGAAAGCUUUGAACGUUUCAAAACCAUUAAUCCAGGUAAAUAUCUUACAAUCUAAUACUUUUUUAUUUGGGUUUGAGCAUGAAGAUGAUAGGGAUAAAGUUCUGUAGUGGGGUCCCGUGGAAUAUAAAUGGGGUCCCAUUUGGUGCUUAAGAAAUGGGAUCCUUAAAAAACACUUGAAGAAGGAAAACUUCAAGAAUACAGCUUUUUGGCUGCAAAUUCACGGGUUGCCUUUGUUAUAUGACCAAAGAGAAUGCUUCAAAAACAGAGGAACGGAUUGAUAAGGUACUAGAAGUGGAUUUCAACAAUGAUAGCAGGAUGAUAAAUUGGAGAUUUUUGAAAGUAAUUGGGUGGAAGCAGAUGUUGAAAAGCCACUGCCUGCAGGUUUCUUAUAGAGCAUAUUUCCAGUAUUCCUAGAGUACGUGUUCUUGAGUACAUGUUACAUGGAUUCUACCUCUAUAUUAAAGGUCGAAGCACGUAUUGUAUUUCAAAAUCAUCGUAAUUUUUUUUCCCCCUAAAAAAAAGCCUUGAACAAGGUACUGAAUCCAAUUUAAAUAUGAAAGAAUUUCUAAA